RNAcentral lists this ribosomal RNA (442 nucleotides) under uncultured bacterium. Its description in RNAcentral is "bacterial SSU rRNA". It matches the Rfam family "Bacterial small subunit ribosomal RNA", at positions 958 to 1398 of the family's 1533-position model. The record is from RNAcentral.
AACGCGAAGAACCUUACCUACCCUUGACAUACAGUGGAGCUUGCAGAGAUGGAGUCUUUCAGUUCGGCUGGACCGGAGACAGGUGCUGCAUGGCUGUCGUCAGCUCGUGUCGUGAGAUGUUGGGUUAAGUCCCGCAACGAGCGCAACCCUCGCCCUUAGUUGCCAUCAUUUAGUUGGGCACUCUAAGGGGACUGCCGGUGAUAAGCCGCGAGGAAGGUGGGGAUGACGUCAAGUCCUCAUGGCCCUUACGGGCUGGGCUACACACGUGCUACAAUGGCGGUGACAGUGGGAUGCAAUGGAGUGAUCCUGCGCAAAUCUCAAAAAGCCGUCUCAGUUCGGAUUGUGCUCUGCAACUCGAGCACAUGAAGUUGGAAUCGCUAGUAAUCGCAGAUCAGCACGCUGCGGUGAAUACGUUCCCGGGCCUUGUACACACCGAGACGAC